AGCACUGCCUCUACUAGUGAAUUACAUCUUCCUGCGGAGGAAGAGGAAGAGGAAGAGGAGGUGGAGGAUGUGUUCUGGUGGCAACAGUCGAUAGAGGAUUUGGAUAUGAAGGAGCUUGUACAGUACAAGGCAAGCUUGGAAGGGUUGAGGAGUAAUUUGAUUAUGAGAAUUGAGGAGAUGAAGAUGCGGAGAGCUGCGACCAGAAAU
RNAcentral lists this unclassified non-coding RNA (207 nucleotides) under Hevea brasiliensis (rubber tree). Lineage: Eukaryota; Viridiplantae; Streptophyta; Magnoliopsida; Malpighiales; Euphorbiaceae. The record is from RNAcentral.